This 876-nucleotide long non-coding RNA is filed under the name Heterocephalus glaber (naked mole-rat). RNAcentral's name for it is "lncRNA (ENSHGLG00100051171.1)". The record is from RNAcentral. Lineage: Eukaryota; Metazoa; Chordata; Mammalia; Rodentia; Bathyergidae.
GUUGGGAGCUGACCCUGCACACCCUGCGAUGUCUUAGAGCAGGGCCAUGGUGCACUGUGGAGCAGAGGCCAGUCUUUUACCCAGUCCAGUCUCCCUAAUUAGUGCAUCCUAUCAACCUGAGAUUGGAGUCAGGCUGACAGGAAGGCUCAACAGGCCUGCCCCAGCUGAGGCAUGGCAUGUGGAUUGGGUAGCUGUCAAGAGAGAAAGCUGGCACCUGAUGAGCUGUAGCGCACAGGUGAGCACAUUCACCUUGUGGUGAGUGAGCUCCCGUGUGCCUCGUGAGCAUCCGCACUAGCAGUGCCGGUGAGUGUUCUGGGAGUGUUCCGGUGCAGUGCAGCCUUAAAUCCUGAGUAAAGAAUAUCCUGAGAGAGCACAAGAAAGAUACCAUGUAGUAGUAUUCAGUCUUCAGAGUUGGUGGUCUGAACUUGAAAUUUUUCAGUUAUUCUACAUCAAGUCCUGAACUACUGGUUAGGUAAGAGGCAAUCAGUGUGAAGAAGGAAGGAGCAGGACGUCUGCUGAGGCUAGAAGCAGUGAGGCUGUCACUAGCAGGCUGGGGACCUGAGAAGCACUGUGGAUGGGCGGAAGCAGCUGCACUAGGGACCUCAGAAGUGGACACCUGGAGAAGACACAUGUCCAGGGCACUUGGGAGCCAACAGAAAUUGAUCUUAGCUGGGGAUUAGAUGGAUGCUUAUUCUCUCUCUCUCUCUCUCUCACUCUCUCUCUCUCUCUCUCUCUCUCUCUCUCUCUCUAUCUCUCUCUCUCUCCCCCUCUCUCCCCCUCUCUCUCCCCCUCUCUCUCCCCCUCUCUCUCCCCCUCUCUCUCCCCCUCUCUCUCCCUCCCCCCUCGCCCUCCCUCUCCCCCUCUCCCCCUCUCCCC